Molecule: long non-coding RNA, 529 nt
Filed under: Cricetulus griseus (Chinese hamster)
Lineage: Eukaryota; Metazoa; Chordata; Mammalia; Rodentia; Cricetidae
Description: lncRNA (ENSCGRG00015036117.1)
Source: RNAcentral
GCAAACUUGUAGGAGCUCAAGAGAUGGCAUAGUGAGCAAGAAGCCGUGUGGUAUGGGUGUGAAGACUUGGGUCCUGAUCCCAGCACCCACAUAAUAAGCCAGGCACCGCUGUCCUCCGGUAACCCCAGCACCUACAGCACUCACAGGCUGCCAGCCCAGCUCUGGAUUCAGGGAGAGCCUGUAGGGAGGGAAUAAGCCAUGUAAAUGAAGUCACUUUCUCAGCCUCAUUGUAAAUGAAAAGAGACACGGGCCUGGAAAGCAGCCACAGAGAGAAUGAUGUCCACAAGGAAAUCAACAGUUUAAUGAACACGAGAUAAAGGUGACCCGGAGUUGCCAUCAGAGCCAGAUAAAGAGGGAGGAGGCCAUUAUGACAACGUAGACCUGUCUCACACAGCAAUCGCUUCACAAGUACUGGGAAGCCCAGAGUCUGUCGAUGCCAGUUCUCCCAAAAUUAGAGAGUCUGCAGUGUGGACCGGUUUGCUCAUCAGCACCAGUGAAUUAAUGAGCAGAUCCAACCCUGACCCUUCUG